RNAcentral lists this ribosomal RNA (253 nucleotides) under uncultured bacterium. Its description in RNAcentral is "partial 16S ribosomal RNA". It matches the Rfam family "Bacterial small subunit ribosomal RNA", at positions 524 to 776 of the family's 1533-position model. The record is from RNAcentral.
UACGUAGGGGGCAAGCGUUGUCCGGAAUUAUUGGGCGUAAAGGGCUCGUAGGCGGUUUCUUAAGUCUGAUGUGAAAGCCCACGGCUCAACCGUGGAGGGUCAUUGGAAACUGGGGGACUGAGUACAGAAGAGAAGAGUGGAAUUCCACGUGUAGCGGUGAAAUGCGUAGAGAUGUGGAGGAACACCAGUGGCGAAGGCGGCUAUCUGGACGGUUUCUGACGCUAAGACGGCGAAAGCGUGGGGAGCAAACAGG